GAGUUUGAUCCUGGCUCAGGAUGAACGCUGGCGGCGUGCUUAACACAUGCAAGUCGAACGGUGAAGCAGAGCUUGCUCUGUGGAUCAGUGGCGAACGGGUGAGUAACACGUGAGCAACCUGCCCCGGACUCUGGGGUAAGCGCUGGAAACGGCGUCUAAUACUGGAUACGAGCUGCGACCGCAUGGUCAGCAGUUGGAAAGAUUUUUCGGUCUGGGAUGGGCUCACGUCCUAUCAGCUUGUUGGUGAGGUAAUGGCUCACCAAGGCGUCGACGGGUAGCCGGCCUGAGAGGGUGACCGGCCACACUGGGACUGAGACACGGCCCAGACUCCUACGGGAGGCAGCAGA
RNAcentral lists this ribosomal RNA (347 nucleotides) under uncultured bacterium. RNAcentral's name for it is "bacterial SSU rRNA". It matches the Rfam family "Bacterial small subunit ribosomal RNA", at positions 9 to 355 of the family's 1533-position model. The record is from RNAcentral.